UGGGUCGUCAAGACGUACAAAAUAGUACGUCGUCGACACAAGCGAGGAGCAAGCUGAAAAUAGACGAAAUAAGAACGUUCUCUUGGGGAGGAAAGUCCGAACACCCUUUAUGCAGCAAUGCAUAUCGCAGAAAAGGCGUUGCUAACAGCAACCGCGCGUAAGCGUAGGGAAAGUCUCGUGCAAACGAAAGGAUGCGCGGGGUCAGAACCUGCUGGAAACGGCAUGCAAUGACGCAACAGAGACAUUCAAACCCGCCCUGAUUCGUUCGAGCGGGCAAAAGGUGAAACGUGUGGGGUGCGCAAGCUUCCCCGCUCCCUGCAUGGUGACAUGCAGUGGUGGCAAACCCGCCUUGGUGCAAGAGCAAAUUUGGUAGCUCGCGCUGAGCAUGCUGGCGACAGUAUGCCAAGAGAGAUGAUCGUCCACGACAGAAUUCGGCUUAUCAGUUGACCAGGUAU
This 455-nucleotide RNase P RNA is filed under the name bacterium. RNAcentral's name for it is "RNase P RNA component class A". The stretch from base 60 to 455 matches the Rfam family "Bacterial RNase P class A". Rfam says of the family: Ribonuclease P (RNase P) is a ubiquitous endoribonuclease, found in archaea, bacteria and eukarya as well as chloroplasts and mitochondria. Its best characterised activity is the generation of mature 5'-ends of tRNAs by cleaving the 5'-leader elements of precursor-tRNAs. The record is from RNAcentral.